Molecule: ribosomal RNA, 497 nt
Filed under: uncultured bacterium
Lineage: Bacteria
Description: partial 16S ribosomal RNA
Rfam family: Bacterial small subunit ribosomal RNA
Source: RNAcentral
GAUGAACGCUGGCGGCGUGCCUAAUACAUGCCAGUCGAGCGAACGGACGAGAAGCUUGCUUCUCUGAUGUUAGCGGCGGACGGGUGAGUAACACGUGGAUAACCUACCUAUAAGACUGGGAUAACUUCGGGAAACCGUAGCUAAUACCGGAUAAUAUUUUGAACCGCAUGGUUCAAAAGUGAAAGACGGUCUUGCUGUCACUUAUAGAUGGAUCCGCGCUGCAUUAGCUAGUUGGUAAGGUAACGGCUUACCUAGGCAACGAUGCAUAGCCGACCUGAGAGGGUGAUCGGCCACACUGGAACUGAGACACGGUCCAGACUCCUACGGGAGGCAGCAGUAGGGAAUCUUCCGCAAUGGGCGAAAGCCUGACGGAGCAACGCCGCGUGAGUGAUGAAGGUCUUCGGAUCGUAAAACUCUGUUAUUAGGGAAGAACAUAUGUGUAAGUAACUGUGCACAUCUUGACGGUACCUAAUCAGAAAGCCACGGCUAACUACGUG